ACGGGCAGGCUAGAGUGCAGUAGGGGAGACUGGAAUUCCUGGUGUAGCGGUGAAAUGCGCAGAUAUCAGGAGGAACACCGAUGGCGAAGGCAGGUCUCUGGGCUGUAACUGACGCUGAGGAGCGAAAGCAUGGGUAGCGAACAGGAUUAGAUACCCUGGUAGUCCAUGCCGUAAACGUUGGGCACUAGGUGUGGGGGACAUUCCACGUUUUCCGCGCCGUAGCUAACGCAUUAAGUGCCCCGCCUGGGGAGUACGGCCGCAAGGCUAAAACUCAAAGGAAUUGACGGGGGCCCGCACAAGCGGCGGAGCAUGCGGAUUAAUUCGAUGCAACGCGAAGAACCUUACCAAGGCUUGACAUGGACUAGAUCGCCGCAGAGAUGCGGUUUCCCUUCGGGGCUGGUUCACAGGUGGUGCAUGGUUGUCGUCAGCUCGUGUCGUGAGAUGUUGGGUUAAGUCCCGCAACGAGCGCAACCCUCGUUCUAUGUUGCCAGCACGUUAUGGUGGGGACUCAUAGGAGACUGCCGGGGUCAACUCGGAGGAAGGUGGGGACGACGUCAAAUCAUCAUGCCCCUUAUGUCUUGGGCUUCACGCAUGCUACAAUGGCCGGUACAAAGGGUUGCGAUACUGUGAGGUGGAGCUAAUCCCAAAAAGCCGGUCUCAGUUCGGAUUGGGGUCUGCAACUCGACCCCAUGAAGUCGGAGUCGCUAGUAAUCGCAGAUCAGCAACGCUGCGGUGAAUACGUUCCCGGGCCUUGUACACACCGCCCGUCAAGUCACGAAAGUUGGUAACACCCGAAGCCG
Molecule: ribosomal RNA, 800 nt
Filed under: unidentified microorganism
Description: bacterial SSU rRNA
Rfam family: Bacterial small subunit ribosomal RNA
Source: RNAcentral